This 109-nucleotide ribosomal RNA is filed under the name Acanthosepion pharaonis. The record is from RNAcentral. Lineage: Eukaryota; Metazoa; Mollusca; Cephalopoda; Sepiida; Sepiidae.
CAGCCACAUUAGUUAGAAACACCGGUUCCUGUACGUUCACAGAAGUUAAGCAACAUUCAGCCUGGUCAGUACCUAGAUGGGCAACCGUUUGUGAAUUCCAGAUGCUGUU